AGACUUACUAGCUCUGUGAAUGGGGUAGGAUCCGAGACUCUUUUCGGGGUUACACAGGCUCUCCUACCCAACUCCUUGUCGCACAGAGUGGUAAUUUGCCUCGCCACAUAUCCAAGCUUGGAAACACGGCCCUGCCCCAACCCUUUGGGCGUACGGUGGAGCAAGGCUAAACAGGAGGGU
This 180-nucleotide ribozyme is filed under the name Anopheles stephensi (Asian malaria mosquito). RNAcentral describes it as "drz-agam-2-2 ribozyme". It matches the Rfam family "drz-agam-2-2 ribozyme". Lineage: Eukaryota; Metazoa; Arthropoda; Insecta; Diptera; Culicidae. The record is from Rfam by way of RNAcentral.